Molecule: transfer RNA, 69 nt
Filed under: Ictidomys tridecemlineatus (thirteen-lined ground squirrel)
Lineage: Eukaryota; Metazoa; Chordata; Mammalia; Rodentia; Sciuridae
Description: Spermophilus tridecemlineatus (thirteen-lined ground squirrel) tRNA
Rfam family: tRNA
About the family: Transfer RNA (tRNA) molecules are approximately 80 nucleotides in length.
Source: Rfam by way of RNAcentral
GGGGUUGUGGCUCAGCAGUAGAGCGCUUGCCUAGCAGGUGCAAGGUCCUGAGUUCAAUCCUCAGCACCA